RNAcentral lists this transfer RNA (89 nucleotides) under Streptomyces daqingensis. RNAcentral's name for it is "tRNA-Ser". It matches the Rfam family "tRNA". Rfam says of the family: Transfer RNA (tRNA) molecules are approximately 80 nucleotides in length. Their secondary structure includes four short double-helical elements and three loops (D, anti-codon, and T loops). Further hydrogen bonds mediate the characteristic L-shaped molecular structure. tRNAs have two regions of fundamental functional importance: the anti-codon, which is responsible for specific mRNA codon recognition, and the 3' end, to which the tRNAs corresponding amino acid is attached (by aminoacyl-tRNA synthetases). tRNAs cope with the degeneracy of the genetic code in two manners: having more than one tRNA (with a specific anti-codon) for a particular amino acid; and 'wobble' base-pairing, i.e. permitting non-standard base-pairing at the 3rd anti-codon position. Lineage: Bacteria; Bacillati; Actinomycetota; Actinomycetes; Kitasatosporales; Streptomycetaceae. The record is from RNAcentral.
GGAGGUGUGCCCGAGCGGCCGAAGGGAACGGUCUUGAAAACCGUCGAGGCAGCGAUGUCUCCGUGGGUUCAAAUCCCACCGCCUCCGCC